AGAGUUUGAUCCUGGCUCAGAACGAACGCUGGCGGCAUGCCUAAUACAUGCAAGUCGGACGCGUGUAGCAAUACACGAGUGGCGCACGGGUGAGUAACGCGUGGGAACCUGCCCUGGAGUGUGGGAUAACCCGGCGAAAGCCGGGCUAAUACCGCAUACGCCCUGAGGGGGAAAGAUUUAUCGCUCCAGGAGGGGCCCGC
RNAcentral lists this ribosomal RNA (200 nucleotides) under uncultured bacterium. RNAcentral's name for it is "partial 16S ribosomal RNA". It matches the Rfam family "Bacterial small subunit ribosomal RNA", at positions 8 to 234 of the family's 1533-position model. The record is from RNAcentral.